AGGGAAAUAGCUUAGUGGUAGAGCACAUGCUUAGCAUGCAUGAGGUCCUGGGUUUAAUCCCCAGUACCUCCA
Molecule: transfer RNA, 72 nt
Filed under: Camelus bactrianus (Bactrian camel)
Lineage: Eukaryota; Metazoa; Chordata; Mammalia; Artiodactyla; Camelidae
Also listed under: 1 other name
Rfam family: tRNA
About the family: Transfer RNA (tRNA) molecules are approximately 80 nucleotides in length. Their secondary structure includes four short double-helical elements and three loops (D, anti-codon, and T loops).
Source: Rfam by way of RNAcentral